AUUGAACGCUGGCGGCAGGCUUAACACAUGCAAGUCGAGCGAGCGGCGGACGGGUGAGUAAUGUCUGGGAAACUGCCUGAUGGAGGGGGAUAACUACUGGAAACGGUAGCUAAUACCGCAUACCAUCAGAUGUGCCCAGAUGGGAUUAGCUAGUAGGUGGGGUAAUGGCUCACCUAGGCGACGAUCCCUAGCUGGUCUGAGGGGAUGACGAGCCACACUGGAACUGAGACACGGGCCAGACCCCUAGGGGGGGCAGCAGAGGGGAAUAUUGCACAAUGAGCGAAAGCCUGAUGCAGCCAGGCAGGGUGUGUGAAGAAGGCCUUCGGGUUGUAAAGCACUUUCAGCGAGGAGACGUGACUAGCAGAAGAAGCACCGGCUAACUCCGUGCAAGCAGCCGCGGUAAUA
Molecule: ribosomal RNA, 405 nt
Filed under: uncultured bacterium
Lineage: Bacteria
Description: partial 16S ribosomal RNA
Rfam family: Bacterial small subunit ribosomal RNA
Source: RNAcentral